CCUACGGGUGGCAGCAGUGAGGAAUAUUGGGCAAUGGGCGCAAGCCUGACCCAGCAACGCCGCGUGAAGGAAGAAGGCCCUCGGGUUGUAAACUUCUUUUAUCAAGGACGAAACAAAUGACGGUACUUGAUGAAUAAGCCACGGCUAACUACGUGCCAGCAGCCGCGGUAAUACGUAGGUGGCAAGCGUUAUCCGGAUUUAUUGGGUUUAAAGGGUGCGCAGGCGGAGGUGCAAGUCAGCGGUCAAAUUGCGGGGCUCAACCCCGUACUGCCGUUGAAACUGCAUCCCUUGAGUGCGCGAGAAGUAUGCGGAAUGCGUGGUGUAGCGGUGAAAUGCAUAGAUAUCACGCAGAACUCCGAUUGCGAAGGCAGCAUACCGGCGCGCAACUGACGCUCAUGCACGAAAGCGUGGGUAUCAAACAGGAUUAGAUACCCCGGUAGUC
RNAcentral lists this ribosomal RNA (442 nucleotides) under uncultured bacterium. Its description in RNAcentral is "partial 16S ribosomal RNA". It matches the Rfam family "Bacterial small subunit ribosomal RNA", at positions 338 to 795 of the family's 1533-position model. The record is from RNAcentral.